Corythoichthys intestinalis (scribbled pipefish) is the source of this 675-nucleotide long non-coding RNA. RefSeq lists it as uncharacterized. The record is from RefSeq and is a predicted model, not a curated record. The transcript is spliced from 3 exons. Lineage: Eukaryota; Metazoa; Chordata; Actinopteri; Syngnathiformes; Syngnathidae.
CUCACGAUUGGAUUACGAUUCAGAGGCUACGAUUCGAUUAUAAAUCGAUUAUUGAUGCACCCCUCUGCUCCCAGCUAUUAGCAGCUUUUAAUGUUUUGUACAUUAGUAAUGUAGCUGCCAUUACGGCAGAAUAAAGAAAUAAAUAAUUUACUCUUUGAUCUGGGCGUGUAAUGUAAACCAUUUAGUUUUUUUUUGAUAUGGGGUGGGAACUUAAGUUCACUGUCGCAAGUUGACAGGGGCACUAUUAAGCGUUACAUCGGCUUAUUAUCUGAUGAACACUACUAGAGUACAGACAACUUUUCAGUACCUCCGAUUAAGAUCAACAAGGAAACAUCUCAAGUGCAUAGUGCAUUGAAGAAUUGAAGCUGAACUAAUUUCCUCUGGAGUAAAGCCAAUGAGUUUUCAGCGCUGCAGGCCGCACAGUAGAUCAGCGGAGAACGUCACUGAAACCUGCCAGUGGACGCAAUCUUAUUCCUGCACGACGACGACCAAAAAAUAUAAACACUAAAUAAAGAGCAGGACAUGAGGCCGCAAGGUACAGACUGCAGUCAAGGCCGACCCGCAGUUUAAAAGCUUUUAUUUCAUUUUUAUUUUUUUAUAAUUAAUUUUUGGUAUUGUUGUCAUUACAAUAAAGAAUGUUAUUUCAAAGCAUUUGUAGUUUUUUUUUUUUUUUUU